This 468-nucleotide ribosomal RNA is filed under the name uncultured bacterium. RNAcentral describes it as "partial 16S ribosomal RNA". It matches the Rfam family "Bacterial small subunit ribosomal RNA", at positions 28 to 507 of the family's 1533-position model. The record is from RNAcentral.
GACGAACGCUGGCGGCGUGCUUAACACAUGCAAGUCGAACGGAAAGGCCCUGCUUUUGUGGGGUGCUCGAGUGGCGAACGGGUGAGUAACACGUGAGUAACCUGCCCUUGACUUUGGGAUAACUUCAGGAAACUGGGGCUAAUACCGGAUAGGAGCUCCUGCUGCAUGGUGGGGGUUGGAAAGUUUCGGCGGUUGGGGAUGGACUCGCGGCUUAUCAGCUUGUUGGUGGGGUAGUGGCUUACCAAGGCUUUGACGGGUAGCCGGCCUGAGAGGGUGACCGGCCGCAUUGGGACUGAGAUACGGCCCAGACUCCUACGGGAGGCAGCAGUGGGGAAUAUUGAAGAAUGGGCGGAAGCCUGAUGCAGCAACGCCGCGUGCGGGAUGACGGCCUUCGGGUUGUAAACCGCUUUCGCCUGUGACGAAGCGUGAGUGACGGUAAUGGGUAGAGUAGCACCGGCUAACUACGUG